This 253-nucleotide ribosomal RNA is filed under the name uncultured bacterium. RNAcentral's name for it is "partial 16S ribosomal RNA". It matches the Rfam family "Bacterial small subunit ribosomal RNA", at positions 524 to 776 of the family's 1533-position model. The record is from RNAcentral.
UACGGAGGGUGCAAGCGUUGUUCGGAAUUACUGGGCGUAAAGCGCGUGUAGGUGGUUCGGUCAGUCGAAUGUGAAAGCCCCGGGCUCAACCCGGGAAGUGCAUCCGAAACUGCCGAACUAGAGUCCCGGAGAGGAAGGCAGAAUUCCCAAUGUAGGGGUGAAAUCCGUAGAUAUUGGGAGGAAUACCGGUGGCGAAGGCGGCCUCCUGGACGGUGACUGACACUCAGACGCUAAAGCGUGGGGAGCAGACAGG